UGCCCUGGAUUAGGCUUUGGCUUAAGGGAAUGUUGUGGCCGAUUUGAUCUUCUAUCCAGGCCACUAAAACUUUCUCCAUAUUAG
This 84-nucleotide microRNA precursor is filed under the name Dasypus novemcinctus (nine-banded armadillo). Its description in RNAcentral is "miRNA (ENSDNOG00000030925.1)". The record is from RNAcentral. Lineage: Eukaryota; Metazoa; Chordata; Mammalia; Cingulata; Dasypodidae.